Small RNA from Clostridium sp. CAG:7, 169 nucleotides. It matches the Rfam family "Clostridiales-1 RNA". NCBI's taxonomy places the organism in Bacteria, Bacillati, Bacillota, Clostridia, Eubacteriales, Clostridiaceae. The record is from Rfam.
UGAUACCAGUGUCGAAAGGUAAAAAUCCGACGCAAGCCUGCUUGCAGGAGGAUUUUUUAUCUUGGGACACGCAAAAACAUGAGUAAGUAGCCAUUUUUGCAAAAAAUGAGCGGAUUACUAAUGGUUUUGAAGAUUGCGAGAGCACAAAGUGCGUAGCAAUCUGGUAUCA